UUAUUUCCCAGCCCUGAUGUACCCAACUUUUUCAUCUUCUCUGUGCCUUUUUCCGAAUAUAACAACAAGCUAAGGACAAGUGAGGAGAGGAUAAGUGAUGGUUGUUCUACUAAAUGCUGUUCCUGAAGUCAUCAGUGAAUUCGCUCUGGAUGAUAACUUGCCUUUAUUAACUUCUGGAAUGUUUUGCCAUUUCUUCUGACUAAUUGCAUUGCAUGACAACAAAUAAUCUGUGAUUUGUAAAAAGGAAUACCAGGGACUCACAAUAAAGAACCCCCAAUGAACACAAGAUGAACUACUUUCUCAGAAGCAUUAUGGAGAAUCUCUUUGAAAACUCAGUAAUGCAGCACUGAGCACAUGCUGCUAGCACUGAAGUACAGUUGGCAAAUUAAUUUAAAAAGCUAUGUAUAAUAUUACUAAAAGUUAACAAUUUGUUUUAUAUGCUACAACAAAAUUUUUAGAAAAUUAUUUCUCCUUAAGAAUAAAAUCAUCCCAGUGGAAGAAAUCAA
Molecule: non-coding RNA, 506 nt
Organism: Ictidomys tridecemlineatus (thirteen-lined ground squirrel)
Lineage: Eukaryota; Metazoa; Chordata; Mammalia; Rodentia; Sciuridae
Source: RefSeq, a predicted model, not a curated record